RNAcentral lists this non-coding RNA (120 nucleotides) under unclassified sequences. Its description in RNAcentral is "SAH-from-Wang-etal RNA". It matches the Rfam family "SAH (S-adenosyl-L-homocysteine) riboswitch aptamer". The record is from RNAcentral.
GUUUUCCGAGGAGCGUUGCGACGGACCAUCCGUGUCCGCCAGGCUCGGAGAGCUUCACCAAGCAGCCGUGCGGCGAUUUUUUUCGCGCCGGCCCCGCUUCCUGAACGGCGCUCACGUCAC